Molecule: ribosomal RNA, 459 nt
Filed under: uncultured Dehalobacterium sp.
Lineage: Bacteria; Bacillati; Bacillota; Clostridia; Eubacteriales; Peptococcaceae
Description: bacterial SSU rRNA
Rfam family: Bacterial small subunit ribosomal RNA
Source: RNAcentral
GCACAAGCGGUGGAGCAUGUGGUUUAAUUCGAUGCUACACGAAGAACCUUACCAGGGUUUGACAUACAAGUAGUAGGGAAAGGAAACUGGACCGACCCUUCGGGGAGCUUGUACAGGUGGUGCAUGGUUGUCGUCAGCUCGUGUCGUGAGAUGUUGGGUUAAGUCCCGCAACGAGCGCAACCCCUACUUUUAGUUGCCAGCAGUAAGAUGGGCACUCUAAAGGAACUGCCGGUGACAAACCGGAGGAAGGUGGGGAUGACGUCAAAUCAUCAUGCCCUUUAUGUUCUGGGCUACACACGUGCUACAAUGGCCGGUACAGAGGGUAGCGAAGGAGCGAUCCGGAGCCAAUCCCAAAAAGCCGGUCUCAGUUCGGAUUGCAGGCUGCAACUCGCCUGCAUGAAGUCGGAAUCGCUAGUAAUCGCGGAUCAGCACGCCGCGGUGAAUACGUUCCCGGGCCUU